RNAcentral lists this long non-coding RNA (891 nucleotides) under Felis catus (domestic cat). RNAcentral describes it as "lncRNA (ENSFCAG00000046788.2)". The record is from RNAcentral. Lineage: Eukaryota; Metazoa; Chordata; Mammalia; Carnivora; Felidae.
GUCUUUAUAGUAAAGGGAUUCAGUCCAAGAUUAUACACUGUAUUUUGUUGUCAUGUCUGUUGAGUCUCCUUCAAUUUGUAGAAUUCCUCAUUCUUGGUUUGGCUUUCAUGACCUUGUCACUUUUGAAGAUGAUAAGUCGGUUGUUUUAUAGAAUCUCCCUCAGUUUGGGUUUAUCUGAUAUUUCCCCAUGAUUAGAUUCACGGGCAUGCAUGUGACAGAAAUAUUGCCGUGUUCUUGUCGUUGACUCCAGUCAGGGGCUAUAGUUACAAUUUGUCCCAAUUUUGAACGUAAGAAUGUUGAUCACCUGAUUAAAGUGGUGUCUGUGGGUCUUCUUCACGCUUUUUGUGCUCCAACACCCUGCGUGGGCUUCAGCUCUCACUCACAACACUCCUGCGCAAAUUCCUCCCCUACCCAUCUGAAUUUUGCAUCCCUGUGCCAGGCUACCGUGGCCACUCAUUCCCCCUCCAUGCUUGUGCACUACUCACCUCCAAAUGAGUAUCCCUUGCACCCACGCAGGCUCUGACCCUCCUAAGCUUAUUCAAUCCCAUCUAAUGGCUGUUGGACAGAAUUAUAAACCAAAGAACUUGGCGUCCAAACAGAAGUGUCAUCACUUGAUAAUGGAUAUACUUGAAUCAGCCAAGCUACCCAUUCAGCAGCAGGAUAUUUGACAGCCUUUCUGAUUAAGGAAAAGAAGGUACUUUACAAAAAAGUUCUCUCAUGUUCAUGAAUUUUCAAGGUGGGACUUUUAUUUUCCAUCUGGCAUCUGUUUGUUUCUAAUUUUCUCACUUUAGGUGAACAAACUGUAGGGGAUUUAGAGAUAUCAUUCUGAGGCAUAAGGGCAAUCACCUGUACCACUUUUUAAAGAACUGUAGGUUAAUCGGCUCACUUCUC